AGUGAACGCUGGCGGUAGGCCUAACACAUGCAAGUCGAACGGCAGCACAGUAAGAGCUUGCUCUUACGGGUGGCGAGUGGCGGACGGGUGAGGAAUACAUCGGAAUCUACUUUUUCGUGGGGGAUAACGUAAGGAAACUUACGCUAAUACCGCAUACGACCUACGGGUGAAAGCAGGGGAUCUUCGGACCUUGCGCGAUUGAAUGAGCCGAUGUCGGAUUAGCUAGUUGGCGGGGUAAAGGCCCACCAAGGCGACGAUCCGUAGCUGGUCUGAGAGGAUGAUCAGCCACACUGGAACUGAGACACGGUCCAGACUCCUACGGGAGGCAGCAGUGGGGAAUAUUGGACAAUGGGCGCAAGCCUGAUCCAGCCAUACCGCGUGGGUGAAGAAGGCCUUCGGGUUGUAAAGCCCUUUUGUUGGGAAAGAAAAGCAGCAGGUUAAUACCCCGCUGUUCUGACGGUACCCAAAGAAUAAGCACCGGCUAACUUCGU
This 491-nucleotide ribosomal RNA is filed under the name uncultured bacterium. Its description in RNAcentral is "partial 16S ribosomal RNA". It matches the Rfam family "Bacterial small subunit ribosomal RNA", at positions 29 to 506 of the family's 1533-position model. The record is from RNAcentral.